CCUACGGGAGGCAGCAGUGGGGAAUAUUGCACAAUGGGGGAAACCCUGAUGCAGCGACGCCGCGUGAGUGAAGAAGUAUUUCGGUAUGUAAAGCUCUAUCAGCAGGGAAGAAAAUGACGGUACCUGAGUAAGAAGCCCCGGCUAAUUACGUGCCAGCAGCCGCGGUAAUACGUAGGGGGCAAGCGUUAUCCGGAUUUACUGGGUGUAAAGGGAGCGUAGACGGCAGUGCAAGUCUGGAGUGAAAGGCGGGGGCUCAACCCCCGGACUGCUCUGGAAACUGGACGGCUGGAGUGCAGGAGAGGUAAGCGGAAUGCCUAGUGUAGCGGUGAAAUGCGUAGAUAUUAGGAGGAACACCAGUGGCGAAGGCGGCUUACUGGACUGUAACUGACGUUGAGGCUCGAAAGCGUGGGGAGCAAACAGGAUUAGAUACCCGAGUAGUC
This 440-nucleotide ribosomal RNA is filed under the name uncultured bacterium. RNAcentral describes it as "partial 16S ribosomal RNA". It matches the Rfam family "Bacterial small subunit ribosomal RNA", at positions 338 to 795 of the family's 1533-position model. The record is from RNAcentral.